UGGGGAAUAUUGCGCAAUGGGGGGAACCCUGACGCAGCCAUGNCGCGUGAAUGAAGAAGGCCUUAGGGUUGUAAAGUUCUUUCGGUAUUGAGGAAGGUUGAUGUGUUAAUAGCACAUCAAAUUGACGUUAAAUACAGAAGAAGCACCGGCUAACUCCGUGCCAGCAGCCGCGGUAAUACGGAGGGUGCGAGCGUUAAUCGGAAUAACUGGGCGUAAAGGGCACGCAGGCGGUUAUUUAAGUGAGGUGUGAAAGCCCCGGGCUUAACCUGGGAAUUGCAUUUCAGACUGGGUAACUAGAGUACUUUAGGGAGGGGUAGAAUUCCACGUGUAGCGGUGAAAUGCGUAGAGAUGUGGAGGAAUACCGAAGGCGAAGCNNGCCCCUUGGGAAUGUACUGACGCUCAUGUGCGAAAGCGUGGGGAGCAAACAGGAUUAGAUACCCUGGUAGUCCACGCUGUAAACGCUGUCGAUUUGGGGGUUGGGGUUUAACUCUGGCGCCCGUAGCUAACGUGAUAAAUCGACCGCCUGGGGAGUACGGCCGCAAGGUU
This 546-nucleotide ribosomal RNA is filed under the name uncultured bacterium. RNAcentral's name for it is "bacterial SSU rRNA". It matches the Rfam family "Bacterial small subunit ribosomal RNA", at positions 355 to 895 of the family's 1533-position model. The record is from RNAcentral.